UAUUAAUGUGGAUACAGUGACAGUGUUAAUUUACACAGUGAUGCUGUAACAAGCUUUGCAUGUAAUGUCUGCCUGUCUUUUCUAAAUAGGCACAGACGCUGGCGGACAAUACAACGUACAUUCAGUUACAUAAAGUUCUAAGUUAACACUCUGUUCCUCAACCACAAAAGCAUGUACCUAAUGGCAUUCUCUGAUCUAGCUCAAAUUACAUCCAGCAGUAUACAGUAAAUUGCGGAACACAUUUUUAGCAAGAUACAAGAGCUGACAGCAAUUCUCUUCCAUUCUCCUUCUUUUGGCAGACAACUAAUAGCAGGCAUCCAUAUUCAAAAACAACUGAAGUCAAAAAAAUACUAUUAAGAAUGACAUUUUGUAGCUGAAAUUCAGACCUUUGGCUCUUAUUGUUUUGUGGUCUCUGUUGGACAUCUCAAUUGAACUGCAACUCAAAUGACUGUCAUCCAACAAGGUGGAGUCUGAGACUUGAAAUCAAAGGGUUUAAGCACAACCUACUGACCAAUCUUGCCCUAAUUCAGUGCAGAUCUCUCUAUGCCUUUACACAUUGGGCAGGGAAUAAAAUUGUUGCGUUUACUUUGAGACUGAAAAUGGACCAAUUUAGCAAACUGAAUGUAAAAAGUCUUCUUGUGAUGUAGAAAUUGUUAUUACUGUAAAGAUGAAUGUAACGGUAAGUUAUAGUUAUUAUCCACCUGACUGAUGGCAAGAACAAUAAAAUGUGACCCAAUGACUCUACAAUAAGACAAGCAAUAUUGAAAAGCAAUGUUUUGUUAUAUGCAAAAACAGAAAAGAUAAUAUAUACUGAGCCAAACCUUUUUCGUAGGACACUUUGCCACUUUCUACCACUA
This is a non-coding RNA of Pelobates cultripes (western spadefoot toad), 857 nucleotides long. The record is from the annotation of a GenBank genome assembly. NCBI's taxonomy places the organism in Eukaryota, Metazoa, Chordata, Amphibia, Anura, Pelobatidae.